AAUCUUUUGCCAUCUAUUUACCGUAGUGAGAUUUACAAAACAACUUAUAGAAAUAAUAACAUAACUCAAAUAAUGAUUUCAUAUGCAAUCGAUUUGAAUAACAAUUCUAUCCUUUAUCAACCUAUUAGUAUCCAUGGGGGUUUAUAAGGAUGUUCCUACAACACGUGAACCAUUUCCUUUAACAUUUCAAAUUAACGGGUCGUCUCCAUACCCAGUCCGAUAUGAGCCCCAAACCACUAAACCUCAAUGCUCCGUCCAGUGUGAGGGUGAAAUGGGUCGUCCCCAUACCCUAUCUGGUAUGAGUGUCAAAUUACCAAACUUCGAUACCCCAUCCGGUAUGAAGCAACGUUCACGGUAGGAUUUUCUAUGCGCCCAGUUCGUCUACCAUCUCUCAGGAUAUCCAGUAAGGCUGUCGCUUCAUCCAUUCACUUAAUCACACAAUUUUCCGUUUUUCUUUAAUCUCU
Molecule: long non-coding RNA, 464 nt
Filed under: Carica papaya (papaya)
Lineage: Eukaryota; Viridiplantae; Streptophyta; Magnoliopsida; Brassicales; Caricaceae
Description: long non-coding RNA (CPAP_LNC015337)
Source: RNAcentral